Thalassophryne amazonica is the source of this 103-nucleotide long non-coding RNA. RefSeq lists it as uncharacterized. The transcript has 3 exons. Lineage: Eukaryota; Metazoa; Chordata; Actinopteri; Batrachoidiformes; Batrachoididae. The record is from RefSeq and is a predicted model, not a curated record.
CUGUGUGCAAAACUGCAGCCAUUGUUAGUGCCAUUUUACGGAUCACUUUGCGCCUGCUUUAAUAUCCAUCCAUAUAAUUGCAAACACGUGGGUGUGUUAAUUG